Molecule: ribosomal RNA, 1230 nt
Filed under: Paenibacillus lautus
Lineage: Bacteria; Bacillati; Bacillota; Bacilli; Caryophanales; Paenibacillaceae
Description: partial 16S ribosomal RNA
Rfam family: Bacterial small subunit ribosomal RNA
Source: RNAcentral
AGCCGUACGGCUGCUAACACUGCAGUCGAGCGGACUUGAUGGAGAGCUUGCACUCCCCUAGGCGUAGAGGGGGACGGGGAGAAACACGUUCGCAACCUGCCCUCGAAACGGGGAUAACUACCGGAAACGAUAACUUAUACCGGAUAAUUAAUUUUGGAGGAUUGUGAAAUACCGAAAGGCCUAACGCUCUGGCACUGGACGAUGGCCCUGCGGCGCAUUAGCGAGUUGGGGGCCUACCGGCCCACCAAGGCGACGAUGCGUAGACAACCUGAGAGGGUGAACGGCCACUGUGACACUGACCCACGGCCCACACUCCUACGGGAGGCAGAAUUAGGGAAUCUUCCGCAAUGGCUGAACCCCUGACGGAGCAAGGCCGAGUGAGUGAUGAAGGUUUUCGGAUCGUUUUGCUCUGAUGCCAAGGAAUAACGUUUUCUAGAGUAGCUGAUAAGAGAGCGACGGUACUUGAGAACAACUCCCCGCCUACCUACGUGCCAGCAACCGCGUAAAUACCAAGGGGGAAUCGGUUUUCCGGAAUUAUUGGGGGGAAAGGGCGCGCGGGCGGUACUUUAAGUCUGUCGCUUAAACCCGAUGGUCAAUUUCGUGGCGGACUGCACACUGAGAGAGUGGAGUGCAGAAGAGGAAAUCGAAAUUCCACGUGUAGCGGCGAAAAGCUGAGAUAUGUGAAGGAUCACCAGUGCCGACCGCUACUCUCUGGGCUGCACUUGAGGCUGAGGCGCGGAAGAGUGAACAGCAUACAGGAUUAUAGACCCUGGUACCCCACGCCAUAAACGAUAAAUGCUAGGUGUUAGGGGCCUUCAAUACCCUUGCUGCCGCGUGAAGCACAUCACGUGUGCCGCCCGGGGGAGUACAGUAGCAUAUUGAGACUCGAAGGAGACGCCGACGAACCCGCGCAGAAGUGUAUUAUGUCGAUUAAUCGCGAAACAACGUUAACUACCCUAGCAAUGCCUCGUAAUCCACUCUGAAUCGUCUAAAGAGCUCGAAGGACUACGGGACAGAGGUGACUGCUGUCUGUCGUUGCUCUCUGCUCGAGACUGUGGAAUGUAGUCUACACCCAGCACGACCGUAUCUCUGAAUGUAACUGACAGUACUUCAGGAUGACUGUCUAGAAUGACUCGGCGAGACGAGCGAUGAAUGCGGUCAUGACGUCAUCACUGCUGGCCUUAUCGACUGGACUACUCGCACGUAAUCACAAUGUGCCCACACCCGUAG